This 74-nucleotide transfer RNA is filed under the name Candidatus Heimdallarchaeum aukensis. RNAcentral describes it as "tRNA-Gly". It matches the Rfam family "tRNA". Rfam says of the family: Transfer RNA (tRNA) molecules are approximately 80 nucleotides in length. Their secondary structure includes four short double-helical elements and three loops (D, anti-codon, and T loops). The record is from RNAcentral. Lineage: Archaea; Promethearchaeati; Candidatus Heimdallarchaeota; Candidatus Heimdallarchaeia (ex Rinke et al. 2021) (nom. nud.); Candidatus Heimdallarchaeales; Candidatus Heimdallarchaeaceae.
GCGUCAAUAGUAUAGUGGUAGUACGUCGGACUUCCAAUUCGACGGCCCGGGUUCAAUUCCCGGUUGACGCACCA